GAGGUAAAGGCUCACCAAGCCAACGAUCUGUAGCUGGUCUGAGAGGACGACCAGCCACACUGGAACUGAGACACGGUCCAGACUCCUACGGGAGGCAGCAGUGGGGAAUUUUGGACAAUGGACGCAAGUCUGAUCCAGCCAUUCCGCGUGCAGGAUGAAGGCCCUCGGGUUGUAAACUGCUUUUGUACGGAACGAAAAGGUUUGUCUUAAUACGAUGAGCUCAUGACGGUACCGUAAGAAUAAGCACCGGCUAACUACGUG
This 261-nucleotide ribosomal RNA is filed under the name uncultured bacterium. RNAcentral describes it as "partial 16S ribosomal RNA". It matches the Rfam family "Bacterial small subunit ribosomal RNA", at positions 254 to 507 of the family's 1533-position model. The record is from RNAcentral.